GAUCAUGGCUCAGAACGAACGCUGGCGGCAUGGAUUAGGCAUGCAAGUCGAACGAAGUAGCAAUACUUAGUGGCGCAAGGGUGAGGAACGCGCGAGUGACCUACCCGCAAGUUUGGAACAGCUCCUGGAAACGGGAAUUAAUACCGGAUGUGAUCAAUGAGCUGCAUGGUUUAUUGAUUAAAGCAGUAAUGCGCUUGCGGAUGGGCUCGCGUCCCAUUAGCUAGUUGGUGAGGUAACGGCCCACCAAGGCCAUGAUGGGUAGCUGGUCUGAGAGGACGACCAGCCACACUGGGACUGAGAACUGCCCAGACUCCUACGGGAGGCUGCAGUCGAGAAUUUUGGGCAAUGGACGAAAGUCUGACCCAGCCAAUGCCGCGUGCGGGAUGAAGGUCUUCGGAUUGUAAACCGCUGUUUGGAGGGACGAAAAUUGACAGUACUUCCAGAGAAAGCCACGGCUAACUACGUGCCAGCAGCAGC
This 477-nucleotide ribosomal RNA is filed under the name uncultured bacterium. RNAcentral describes it as "bacterial SSU rRNA". It matches the Rfam family "Bacterial small subunit ribosomal RNA", at positions 15 to 518 of the family's 1533-position model. The record is from RNAcentral.